This 237-nucleotide ribosomal RNA is filed under the name uncultured bacterium. RNAcentral's name for it is "partial 16S ribosomal RNA". It matches the Rfam family "Bacterial small subunit ribosomal RNA", at positions 100 to 334 of the family's 1533-position model. The record is from RNAcentral.
CCGGCACGGGUGAGUAACACGUAUCCAACCUGCCGUCUACUCUUGGCCAGCCUUCUGAAGGAAGAUUAAUCCAGGAUGGCAUCAUGAGUUCACAUGUCCGCAUGAUUAAAGGUAUUUUCCGGUAGACGAUGGGGAUGCGUUCCAUUAGAUAGUAGGCGGGGUAACGGCCCACCUAGUCAACGAUGGAUAGGGGUUCUGAGAGGAGGUCCCCCACAUUGGAACUGAGACACGGUCCAA